GCCUCUUGAUUAAACCAUAAGAGGUCCAGCCUGCCCAGUGACAUUGUUCAACGGCCGCGGUAUCCUAACCGUGCGAAGGUAGCGUAAUCACUUGUCCUUUAAAUGAAGACUAGUAUGAAUGGCCCCACGAAAGCUAUACUGUCUCCUUUUUCUAAUCAGUUAAACUAAUCUCCCCGUGAAGAAGCGGGGAUAAACAUAUAAGACGAGAAGACCCUAUGGAGCUUCAAACAACUGAAACACUUGUAUAUCCUCCCCUCACCUACCAACAUUUAACCUCACAUUUUGUUUCUAGUUUUAGGUUGGGGUGACCACGGAGAAAAAACUAACCUCCACGACGAAAGAGACAUCUCUAAACAAAAAGCUACAUCUUUAUGUAUUAACACAUUAACCUUUAUUGACCCAAUAAAUUGAUCAACGAACCAAG
This 424-nucleotide ribosomal RNA is filed under the name Anomaloglossus cf. baeobatrachus ABGD cluster 2. Its description in RNAcentral is "partial large subunit ribosomal RNA". It matches the Rfam family "Bacterial large subunit ribosomal RNA", at positions 1816 to 2461 of the family's 2925-position model. The record is from RNAcentral. Lineage: Eukaryota; Metazoa; Chordata; Amphibia; Anura; Aromobatidae.